RNAcentral lists this transfer RNA (66 nucleotides) under Dypsocus coleoptratus. Its description in RNAcentral is "tRNA-Met". The record is from RNAcentral. Lineage: Eukaryota; Metazoa; Arthropoda; Insecta; Psocodea; Caeciliusidae.
UAAAAAGUAAGCUAAUUUAAGCUUUUGGGUUCAUACCCCAAAUAUAGAAUUUUAUUCUCUUUUUAA